UACAGAGGUCUCGAGCGUUGUUCGGAUUUAUUGGGCGUAAAGGGUGCGUAGGCGGUAUGGCAAGUCAAGUGUGAAAUCUCGGAGCUCAACUUCGAAACUGCACUUGAUACUACUAUGCUAGAGGGUUGUAGAGGAGACCGGAAUUCACGGUGUAGCAGUGAAAUGCGUAGAUAUCGUGAGGAAGACCAGUUGCGAAAGCGGGUCUCUGGGCAAUUCCUGACGCUGAGGCACGAAGGCUAGGGGAGCAAACGGG
This 253-nucleotide ribosomal RNA is filed under the name uncultured bacterium. Its description in RNAcentral is "partial 16S ribosomal RNA". It matches the Rfam family "Bacterial small subunit ribosomal RNA", at positions 524 to 776 of the family's 1533-position model. The record is from RNAcentral.